AUUAUGUUCUUUGAUAUAAUUAUUAUAAAGGGAAUACAAUAUCUUUGUAUAACUAGAAAACGCGCUGAAUUGACGUACCUCCAAGUAGAACAGCAUCUUGCACAAUAUUAUUUGGUAGCUCUGCCUCCUACAAACUUUCCAACAGAGGGCAUCGAAAAGUUUAUCACCCCCCUAGCAUGGCGCAUUUUACAGAACUGAUCCAGUAUUGUCUCAAUCCCUCAACAUGAAUGGCAGCUGUGUCGAAAAGGAAUAACUUUCAUUUUAUUUUCAUAAUGUCAUGAAUUGCAUUUUUUAUUAUAGUAUUCAAAAUUAUGUGCUUUGCUUAUUGAUAACUG
Argiope bruennichi is the source of this 335-nucleotide long non-coding RNA. RefSeq lists it as uncharacterized. The transcript has 3 exons. The record is from RefSeq and is a predicted model, not a curated record. Lineage: Eukaryota; Metazoa; Arthropoda; Arachnida; Araneae; Araneidae.